Molecule: ribosomal RNA, 301 nt
Filed under: uncultured bacterium
Lineage: Bacteria
Description: partial 16S ribosomal RNA
Rfam family: Bacterial small subunit ribosomal RNA
Source: RNAcentral
CAGUCGCCACGGGAAUACGAAGGGGGCUAGCGUUGCUCGGAAUUACUGGGCGUAAAGGGCGCGUAGGCGGGUCGUUAAGUUGGGGGUGAAAGCCCAGGGCUCAACCCUGGAACUGCCUUCAAUACUGGCGACCUAGAGUAUGACAGAGGUGUGUGGAACUCCGAGUGUAGAGGUGAAAUUCGUAGAUAUUCGGAAGAACACCAGUGGCGAAGGCGACACACUGGGUCAUUACUGACGCUGAGGCGCGAAAGCGUGGGGAGCAAACAGGAUUAGAUACCCCCGUAGUCCCUGUCUCUUAUAC